RNAcentral lists this ribosomal RNA (506 nucleotides) under uncultured bacterium. RNAcentral describes it as "partial 16S ribosomal RNA". It matches the Rfam family "Bacterial small subunit ribosomal RNA", at positions 29 to 523 of the family's 1533-position model. The record is from RNAcentral.
AGUGAACGCUGGCGGUAGGCCUAACACAUGCAAGUCGAACGGCAGCACAGGAGAGCUUGCUCUCUGGGUGGCGAGUGGCGGACGGGUGAGGAAUACAUCGGAAUCUACUCUGUCGUGGGGGAUAACGUAGGGAAACUUACGCUAAUACCGCAUACGACCUACGGGUGAAAGCAGGGGACCUCCGGGCCUUGCGCGAUUGAAUGAGCCGAUGUCGGAUUAGCUAGUUGGCGGGGUAAAGGCCCACCAAGGCGACGAUCCGUAGCUGGUCUGAGAGGAUGAUCAGCCACACUGGAACUGAGACACGGUCCAGACUCCUACGGGAGGCAGCAGUGGGGAAUAUUGGACAAUGGGCGCAAGCCUGAUCCAGCCAUACCGCGUGGGUGAAGAAGGCCUUCGGGUUGUAAAGCCCUUUUGUUGGGUAAGAAAUCCAUCUGGUUAAUACCCGGGUGGGAUGACGGUACCCAAAGAAUAAGCACCGGCUAACUUCGUGCCAGCCGCCGCAGUAA